GGGGGUAUAGCUCAGCUGGGAGAGCGCUUGAAUGGCAUUCAAGAGGCCAGCGGUUCGAUCCCGCUUAUCUCCA
This is a transfer RNA of Sporomusa sp. An4, 73 nucleotides long. It matches the Rfam family "tRNA". From Rfam's summary of the family: Transfer RNA (tRNA) molecules are approximately 80 nucleotides in length. Their secondary structure includes four short double-helical elements and three loops (D, anti-codon, and T loops). Further hydrogen bonds mediate the characteristic L-shaped molecular structure. tRNAs have two regions of fundamental functional importance: the anti-codon, which is responsible for specific mRNA codon recognition, and the 3' end, to which the tRNAs corresponding amino acid is attached (by aminoacyl-tRNA synthetases). tRNAs cope with the degeneracy of the genetic code in two manners: having more than one tRNA (with a specific anti-codon) for a particular amino acid; and 'wobble' base-pairing, i.e. permitting non-standard base-pairing at the 3rd anti-codon position. NCBI's taxonomy places the organism in Bacteria, Bacillati, Bacillota, Negativicutes, Selenomonadales, Sporomusaceae. The record is from Rfam.